RNAcentral lists this ribosomal RNA (253 nucleotides) under uncultured bacterium. RNAcentral describes it as "partial 16S ribosomal RNA". It matches the Rfam family "Bacterial small subunit ribosomal RNA", at positions 524 to 776 of the family's 1533-position model. The record is from RNAcentral.
UACGGAGGGGACUAGCGUUGUUCGGAAUUACUGGGCGUAAAGCGCACGUAGGCGGAUUUGUUAGUCAGGGGUGAAAUCCCGAGGCUCAACCUCGGAACUGCCUUUGAUACUGCAAAUCUCGAGUCCGGAAGAGGUGAGUGGAAUUCCUAGUGUAGAGGUGAAAUUCGUAGAUAUUAGGAAGAACACCAGUGGCGAAGGCGGCUCACUGGUCCGGUACUGACGCUGAGGUGCGAAAGCGUGGGGAGCAGACGGG